RNAcentral lists this ribosomal RNA (468 nucleotides) under uncultured bacterium. RNAcentral's name for it is "partial 16S ribosomal RNA". It matches the Rfam family "Bacterial small subunit ribosomal RNA", at positions 28 to 507 of the family's 1533-position model. The record is from RNAcentral.
GACGAACGCUGGCGGCGUGCUUAACACAUGCAAGUCGAACGGAAAGGCCCUGCUUUUGUGGGGUGCUCGAGUGGCGAACGGGUGAGUAACACGUGAGUAACCUGCCCUUGACUUUGGGAUAACUUCAGGAAACUGGGGCUAAUACCGGAUAGGAGCUCCUGCUGCAUGGUGGGGGUUGGAAAGUUUCGGCGGGUGGGGAUGGACUCGCGGCUUAUCAGCUUGUUGGUGGGGUAGUGGCUUACCAAGGCUUUGACGGGUAGCCGGCCUGAGAGGUUGACCAGCCACAUUGGGACUGAGAUACGGCCCAGACUCCUACGGGAGGCAGCAGUGGGGAAUAUUGCACAAUGGGCGGAAGCCUGAUGCAGCAACGCCGCGUGCGGGAUGACGGCCUUCGGGUUGUAAACCGCUGUCGCCUGUGACGAAGCGUGAGUGACGGUAAUGGGUAAAGAAGCACCGGCUAACUACGUG